This 462-nucleotide ribosomal RNA is filed under the name Acanthamoeba sp. Its description in RNAcentral is "SSU rRNA". It matches the Rfam family "Eukaryotic small subunit ribosomal RNA", at positions 740 to 1095 of the family's 1831-position model. The record is from RNAcentral. Lineage: Eukaryota; Discosea; Longamoebia; Acanthamoebidae.
GGCCCAGAUCGUUUACCGUGAAAAAAUUAGAGUGUUCAAAGCAGGCAGAUCCAAUUUUCUGCCACCGAAUACAUUAGCAUGGGAUAAUGGAAUAGGACCCUGUCCUCCUAUUUUCAGUUGGUUCUGGCACGCGAGGACCAGGGUAAUGAUUAAUAGGGAUAGUUGGGGGCAUUAAUAUUUAAUUGUCAGAGGUGAAAUUCUUGGAUUUAUGAAAGAUUAACUUCUGCGAAAGCAUCUGCCAAGGAUGUUUUCAUUAAUCAAGAACGAAAGUUAGGGGAUCGAAGACGAUCAGAUACCGUCGUAGUCUUAACCAUAAACGAUGCCGACCAGCGAUUAGGAGACGUUGAAUACAAAACACCACCAUCGGUGCGGUCGUCCUUGGCGCGUCGUGGCUUGCUGCGGCGUGCGAGGGCGGUUUAGCCUGAUGGCAUCGGUGAAUGACUCCCCUAGCAGCUUGUGAGA